AUCCAACUGACGAGUCUCAAAGAGAAUGAAACACGAGUCCUGGAU
Molecule: non-coding RNA, 45 nt
Organism: Schistosoma rodhaini
Lineage: Eukaryota; Metazoa; Platyhelminthes; Trematoda; Strigeidida; Schistosomatidae
Source: Rfam